ACUCCUACGGGAGGCAGCAGUGGGGAAUUUUGGACAAUGGGCGAAAGCCUGAUCCAGCAAUGCCGCGUGAGUGAAGAAGGCCUUCGGGUUGUAAAGCUCUUUUGUCAGGGAAGAAACGGUGAAAGCUAAUAUCCUUUGCUAAUGACGGUACCUGAAGAAUAAGCACCGGCUAACUACGUGCCAGCAGCCGCGGUAAUA
This 198-nucleotide ribosomal RNA is filed under the name uncultured bacterium. Its description in RNAcentral is "partial 16S ribosomal RNA". It matches the Rfam family "Bacterial small subunit ribosomal RNA", at positions 335 to 525 of the family's 1533-position model. The record is from RNAcentral.